This 990-nucleotide ribosomal RNA is filed under the name Bacillus freudenreichii. RNAcentral's name for it is "bacterial SSU rRNA". It matches the Rfam family "Bacterial small subunit ribosomal RNA", at positions 57 to 1026 of the family's 1533-position model. Lineage: Bacteria; Bacillati; Bacillota; Bacilli; Caryophanales; Bacillaceae. The record is from RNAcentral.
GCAGUCGAGCGGACAGAUGGGAGCUUGCUCCCUGAUGUCAGCGGCGGACGGGUGAGUAACACGUGGGUAACCUGCCUGUAAGACUGGGAUAACUCCGGGAAACCGGGGCUAAUACCGGAUGCUUGAUUGAACCGCAUGGUUCAAUUAUAAAAGGUGGCUUUUAGCUACCACUUACAGAUGGACCCGCGGCGCAUUAGCUAGUUGGUGAGGUAACGGCUCACCAAGGCGACGAUGCGUAGCCAACCUGAGAGGGUGAUCGGCCACACUGGGACUGAGACACGGCCCAGACUCCUACGGGAGGCAGCAGUAGGGAAUCUUCCGCAAUGGACGAAAGUCUGACGGAGCAACGCCGCGUGAGUGAUGAAGGUUUUCGGAUCGUAAAACUCUGUUGUUAGGGAAGAACAAGUACCGUUCGAAUAGGGCGGUACCUUGACGGUACCUAACCAGAAAGCCACGGCUAACUACGUGCCAGCAGCCGCGGUAAUACGUAGGUGGCAAGCGUUGUCCGGAAUUAUUGGGCGUAAAGCGCGCGCAGGCGGUUUCUUAAGUCUGAUGUGAAAGCCCCCGGCUCAACCGGGGAGGGUCAUUGGAAACUGGGGAACUUGAGUGCAGAAGAGGAGAGUGGAAUUCCACGUGUAGCGGUGAAAUGCGUAGAGAUGUGGAGGAACACCAGUGGCGAAGGCGACUCUCUGGUCUGUAACUGACGCUGAGGCGCGAAAGCGUGGGGAGCGAACAGGAUUAGAUACCCUGGUAGUCCACGCCGUAAACGAUGAGUGCUAAGUGUUAGAGGGGUUUCCGCCCUUUAUUGCUGCAGCAAACGCAUUAAGCACUCCGCCUGGGGAGUACGGUCGCAAGACUGAAACUCAAAGGAAUUGACGGGGGCCCGCACAAGCGGUGGAGCAUGUGGUUUAAUUCGAAACAACGCCGAAGAACCUUACCAGGUCUUGACAUCCUCUGACAACCCUAGAGAUAGGGCUUCCCCUUCCGGGG